UGUAGGAGUGCUUAGCUCACACAACAUGGCCAUUCUAGUUUUUGCGAGCAUCCAGAGUCCCGUGGUCCAGCUUUAGGGCAGAACUGAAGCUUUCCCAAGUCCCUCAGAAUUUGACAAGGAAGCCAGCUCGAUUGAAGAUGACAAAGUGUGUUGAAGUCCUCUACUGGCGGUGUGACUAUCACAAACCAGGGCCUGUGCUUGUGACAUGGUAACUCUCGGAAGGAAGAACUCACUCUGAGAGAGACAUUACGAAGAGUGUGAUCUCACCAACUCCCAUGGACUCAGCAGUCACUCAAGCCACACCCUGAAAUGGCUCUCCAUUCAGUUGCCAAGUCCUCCAUACUCUGCGCCCCAUACCCACCACAGCCUUUGCCCCAUUGAUCCAUUCUGCACACAAUCGCCAACACAUCCGAUCAUGCUACUCCUCAUUCAAACGCUGGCUUCUCCCUGCUCUAACGGAUGAAGUCC
Long non-coding RNA from Artibeus jamaicensis (Jamaican fruit-eating bat), 468 nucleotides. RefSeq lists it as uncharacterized. NCBI's taxonomy places the organism in Eukaryota, Metazoa, Chordata, Mammalia, Chiroptera, Phyllostomidae. The transcript is spliced from 4 exons. The record is from RefSeq and is a predicted model, not a curated record.